CUCGCGGUGUCAACUGGCAUGUCUUGUGGGACGUCCUGCCGGUGGUGGUCCGGUCCCUCGGGUAUGUGUAGGUCCGCCGAAGCAUCCCGUGGGUUCCGGCUGCCGAUUCAAUCCCGCCGCGGUGCUCUUGACUGAGUGUCGAGGUGGGCCGGCACGUUUACUUUGAACAAAUUAGAGUGCUUAAAGCAGGCUGAUUUCUGCCUGAAUACUGUGUGCAUGGAAUAAUGGAAUAGGACUUCGGUUCUAUUUUGUUGGUUUUAAGAAUCCGAAGUAAUGAUUAAUAGGGACAGGCGGGGGCAUUCGUAUUGCGACGUUAGAGGUGAAAUUCUUGGAUCGUCGCAAGACGUACCUAAGCGAAAGCAUUUGCCAAGUAUGUCCUCGUUAAUCAAGAACGAAAGUUAGAGGUUCGAAGGCGAUCAGAUACCGCCCUAGUUCUAACCAUAAACGAUGCCAGCCAGCGAUCCGCCGAAGUUCCUCCGAUGACUCGGCGGGCAGCUUCCGGGAAACCAAAGCUUUUGGGUUCCGGGGGAAGUAUGGUUGCAAAGCUGAAACUUAAAGGAAUUGACGGAAGGGCACCACCAGGAGUGGAGCCUGCGGCUUAAUUUGACCCAACACGGGAAACCUCACCAGGCCCGGACACCGGAAGGAUUGACAGAUUGAUAGCUCUUUCUUGAUUCGGUGGGUGGUGGUGCAUGGCCGUUCUUAGUUGGUGGAGCGAUUUGUCUGGUUAAUUCCGAUAACGAACGAGACUCUAGCCUGCUAACUAGGCGUUUCCGGUAUCCACAAUAGUGCUACCGGCGAAUAAAAUUCUUCUUAGAGGGACAGGCGGCUUCUAGCCGCACGAGACUGAGCAAUAACAGGUCUGUGAUGCCCUUAGAUGUCCUGGGCCGCACGCGCGCUACACUGAAGGAAUCAGCGUGUCUUCCCUGGCCGAAAGGUCCGGGUAACCCGUUGAACCUCCUUCGUGCUAGGGAUUGGGGCUUGCAAUUGUUCCCCAUGAACGAGGAAUUCCCAGUAAGCGCGAGUCAUAAGCUC
This 1035-nucleotide ribosomal RNA is filed under the name Psammotettix striatus. RNAcentral's name for it is "SSU rRNA". It matches the Rfam family "Eukaryotic small subunit ribosomal RNA", at positions 701 to 1637 of the family's 1831-position model. The record is from RNAcentral. Lineage: Eukaryota; Metazoa; Arthropoda; Insecta; Hemiptera; Cicadellidae.